RNAcentral lists this transfer RNA (66 nucleotides) under Blattisocius tarsalis. Its description in RNAcentral is "tRNA-Gln". Lineage: Eukaryota; Metazoa; Arthropoda; Arachnida; Mesostigmata; Blattisociidae. The record is from RNAcentral.
AAUAUUAGUUGUGUAGCAUUUUAAAUUUUGAGUUUAAAGGAAUAGUUUUAUAGUCUAUAAUAUUAA